This 195-nucleotide microRNA precursor is filed under the name Medicago truncatula (barrel medic). RNAcentral's name for it is "miR2676b stem-loop (mtr-MIR2676b)". Lineage: Eukaryota; Viridiplantae; Streptophyta; Magnoliopsida; Fabales; Fabaceae. The record is from miRBase by way of RNAcentral.
CCAUUGUUUGGAUAAUAAUUUGAAGAAUUUUCAAAAUGAUGGAAAUUUAUGAAGUAUUUUGUUCAAGUUAAAAUUAGAGAAUUUCAAAUGACACCUAAAAGUGUGUUUGGAUGAAUGAAUGUUUUGAGGGAAUUCAAAUACUUUAAGAUGAAUUCCAUUGUUUGGAUAAUAAUUUGAAGAAUUUUCAAAAUGAUG